RNAcentral lists this long non-coding RNA (409 nucleotides) under Hordeum vulgare. RNAcentral's name for it is "long non-coding RNA (HVUL_LNC019457)". The record is from RNAcentral. Lineage: Eukaryota; Viridiplantae; Streptophyta; Magnoliopsida; Poales; Poaceae.
CAACGCGUACAGAAUGGAGGCAGGUUUUCUGCAGCCUGCACCGAUGAUUAAUGCGGCUGUCCCCGGUAUGGACCCGGUGCACAGGUAGAGCGAUGGAACUCUCUUUGCUCCAAGGAAAAGGUAUGGCUAGUUUUUUUUUACCUGGAUGGAAAAGUACGCCUUGGCACUUUCUUUUUACAAGAAGAGUACGUCUUGGUACCUGGCCACCUGGGUACUGGACUGGUGUCAAGUUAAAGGGAAAAUAAUACUGGCAGUACUUGACUACCGUGGCUUAUGGGGUUUCCACAUUGUUUUCUUGCUUAUGGGUUUUCUCUUACUUUGCUUGUAAGCUUCAGCAUUUUAAGACAAACCAGCAAAUAGUCUCGAGCACAAGGAACUUUUUUACAGAUUGUACGGUAACAAAUGGAAU